Long non-coding RNA from Phymastichus coffea, 360 nucleotides. RefSeq lists it as uncharacterized. NCBI's taxonomy places the organism in Eukaryota, Metazoa, Arthropoda, Insecta, Hymenoptera, Eulophidae. The transcript has 2 exons. The record is from RefSeq and is a predicted model, not a curated record.
GCCAGAUUCAAACUGAACGAGCCAUAGUCCCGUGGGUUGUUGUAAAGCUAACUCGUCUACAACAGACAUUACCUUUGGAAACAUGAAAUUCUUAAUUUUUCUUCUGUUCGUCAUUGCUGUAGCUACUCUUCAAGUUUCUGCAUAUACAUGCGACCCUAAGGAAUGUAACGCAGGAUGUGUUUCUCGUGGCAACCAGUAUGGAUAUUGUAAUACCCCACAACAAUGCAUGUGCGUCGCAAAAGGCUAAAUAUUCCUUAAAGCUCAAUAUUUAGAUACACGCAAGUUAAUAAAUCAACGUUGAAUUGCAAAAAUGAAAUAAUAGUGUAUCUGUCAAUAAAAAAUCUCCUAUAAAUGUUAAAA